Phasianus colchicus (ring-necked pheasant) is the source of this 1965-nucleotide long non-coding RNA. Lineage: Eukaryota; Metazoa; Chordata; Aves; Galliformes; Phasianidae. The record is from Ensembl.
AUGCAGAUAGCCAAACACUCAAUUAUACUGUAUCCAGUUAUGAUGAAGCUAAUGGCCACUGAAAUACCUCUCGUCAGCUUGCAGCAGGAUUCUUUUACUCUAGAGAUUCAGGAAUCCAUGGAGGUGUUUGCUGUUCUGCCAGACUCAACCACUCAGUCAUUGUUCACAGUGAAUGUAGCAGCCAACACCAGCAUUGCUCUGAAUGUCUUUGACCAGAAACUCACUGGCUCGCUAUGUCUGAACAGGCUCCAGUUCUCCCUUGCCCAUUCCAAUGUUGGCUCUUUCGAGGUAAGCAGACAGUUUAAACACAUAGGAAAUACAAACCAGGACUAUCAAUGAUAUCAAGGCUAAAGUGUAAGCAACUAAAUUUUAUCAGUAUUCCUAAAUCAUUUGGCUUCAUUCCUGGAUGUCUCUUUUCCUGUCUUCUGGCAGGCACCACUCUGCUGUUGAUUGGAAAAAAAAAAAAAAAAAAAAGUUUAUUCUUUGAGGCAAGUCAGUGUUCUGAAAAUUAAAUAUUCUGAAGUUUUCCUGACUAAUGUAUCAUAUUUUACCAGUAAUAGAGAGAUGUCUCAAAUCACAGCCAUGGAAUCUGCACACAGCAGCAAUCUGAACUCUGUCAGUAGGUGGAGCAGUGUGCUGCAGUCUGAGCAAUCACAUGUAUGACUGAGCCAUUUGCAUUUUGCAUCUCACUUCUUCUGCAUCAUUUCAAAGACUUAAGAUCCAAAGGUUACUUUAGCUUAUGGCUCUCUGGAGCUAAAUGAAAGCCAAAAGCUGAAUGGAAGCCUCCAGACCUCGCCCAGAAUGUGGGAAUGAUGAUUCUGCCACUAUUAGAAAGUGAUGGCUAACUCAGUUUUUUUGUUUAUGACAGAUCUCAUUUCUGGAGAACAUCCUGUCUUAUAUUUUACAAACUGAAGUAAUUCCAUCAGCCAAUGGUAAGGCUAUAACACCAACCUGUAUCAUGUGGUUGAAACACCUGAGGGAUGGGAUGCCAUUCAGAGAAAUCCAGACAGGCUCAAACAGUGGGGAAACAUGAGGAGAACCUCAUGAGGUUCAGCAAACCCAAGUGUGAGGUCUUUCACUUGGGUCGUGGCAUCCCCUACUAUCAGUAUGAGCUGGGAGAUGAAAGGAUGGAGCACAGCCUUGCUGAAAAAGACUUGGAGGUACUGGUGCAUAACAGCUGGACAUGAGCAAGCAGUGUGCCCUCACAGCCCAGAAAGCCAACUGUGUCCGGGCCUGCAUCCAAAGCAGCAUGGCCAGCAGGGCAAGGGAGGUGAUCCUGCCUCUCUGCUCUGUACUGGUGAGACCUCACCUGGAGUAUUGUGUCCAGAUGUGAAGUCCUCUGUACAGGAAAGACAUGGAACACAUCCACAAAAAUGGUCCAAGGGAUGGAACACCUCUCCUAUGAGGAUAGGCUGAGAGAGCUGGGGCUGUUCAGCUGGAGAAAAGAAGGGUCCAGGGAGACAUGAGAGUGGCCUUCCAGUAUCUAAAGUGGAGCUGUAAGAAAGAAUGGGACAGACUCUUUAGCAGAGUCUGUUGUCCUACCAGACAACAGGAAGGGGAAAUGGUUUCAAACUAAAAGAGGGGAGAUUUAAACUGAGAAAAAUACAAUGAUAGUUAUAGCAGUGAAGUGAAGCAAGGUAGUGAAGCAGAUCUUUGGAGACAACCAAGGUCAGGCUGGUGGAGCUCCUGCUUAAGCUGUAGGUGUCCCUGUUCAUUGCAGGGGAGUUGGACUAGAUGGCCUUUAAAGGUCUCUUUAAACAAUUCAUUCAAGUCUAUGAUUCUGUUCUAAGAAUCAGCUAAAAGCUUUCAGCUGAGUGGGUGAUUCUAGGAACUUUUGACUUUCUGCUGAAGUUACUGGUUCCUAUUAGCUCAGGUGGAACGUGACCAUUGGCUAAUAAGCGCAGAACAGGAAACCAGAUUUGUAAGGUUCUAAUUUCUGAAUAAACAGGAGAUUGUUGGAGGGCA